AUUGAACGCUGGCGGCAGGCCUAACACAUGCAAGUCGAGCGGCAGCGCGGGGGCAACCCUGGCGGCGAGCGGCGAACGGGUGAGUAAUACAUGGGAAUCUGCCUAGUAGUGGGGGAUAACUCUGGGAAACUAGAGGUAAUACCGCAUACGCCCUACGGGGAAAGGGGGGGAGUCUUCGGACCUCUCGCUAUUAGAGGAGCCCAUGUCCGAUUAGCUAGUUGGUGAGGUAAAGGCUCACCAAGGCGACGAUCGGUAACUGGUCUGAGAGGAUGGUCAGUCACACUGGAACUGAGACACGGUCCAGACUCCUACGGGAGGCAGCAGUGGGGAAUAUUGGACAAUGGGGGCAACCCUGAUCCAGCCAUGCCGCGUGUGUGAAGAAGGCCU
This 387-nucleotide ribosomal RNA is filed under the name uncultured bacterium. RNAcentral's name for it is "bacterial SSU rRNA". It matches the Rfam family "Bacterial small subunit ribosomal RNA", at positions 29 to 417 of the family's 1533-position model. The record is from RNAcentral.